AUUGGAUAGUAUUCAUUUGAGAGAACUUGAACCCGUAAAGAACUCCGAAAGUCCGAAUCGGAUAAGCCUCUCGAAACCCUAAUUAAAUUAGGUAUUUAGCUUGACCCUGCCAGUCCUCCGCCCCAUGGAUCUCUCGUCUCUCUCUUCCUCUCUCUGUAUGUGACUGUGUGCUCGUCGUCUAUUAAACUUUCUGUGAAAUAUCAGUUCGUCUUCGAAGCAUCUAAUCGUGAUUCUCUUUGUUCGUCAAUAAUGACUCAGAGAACAUGAAACGAUGCAAAAUUGAACAAACUCACUGGCACUUCUGGACGAGCAGUUCCAUUUUCCACCAUAGAUUCUCGCUUUUUCUCUACAUAUUGGGCAAAGAAGGUGUUAAACUGCUCGUAUAUUGAAUUUGUUUGGGCUUUUCAGAGUUGCUGAGGGAGAUUGAUUUCCUUGAAGCUUGGCCUAGAAAGCCCAAGUACAUUUCUUUUGAAUACUCGUUUCUGGUUUGUCUUCCUUACAGCUUUUUGCUUAGAGCACUUGCAAUGUCCGCAAGUGUAAUGGGGCAUAAGAGUCUUGUGUCGUACUUUUUAAUGGUAUGAGUAAAAGUGGAUUACAAUAGUCCACUUUUGAGGUCCCAAAUUAAUUGGACCAACAUGUAGACAUGGUAAAACCCACCAUGGUGGAAUUUGGGGAGGAGAACAAAAUGUAUUGGAAGACUAUUUUGUUGAUGUGAUUGGAUGUUGAUAUGGCUAGGUCAUUGUUAUAAUAGUGUAAAUUGUUUGACUUUAUUUUUGGUGUAAUAGAGAUGAGUUCAAUAUUGAUUUUGAAAA
This is a long non-coding RNA of Tripterygium wilfordii, 812 nucleotides long. RefSeq lists it as uncharacterized. Lineage: Eukaryota; Viridiplantae; Streptophyta; Magnoliopsida; Celastrales; Celastraceae. The transcript has 2 exons. The record is from RefSeq and is a predicted model, not a curated record.